AGGGAUGUAUUUAUUAGAUUAAAAACCAAUGCCCUCUGGGCUCUCUGGUGAUUCAUGAUAACUUCUCGAAUCGCAUGGCCUUGCGCCGGCGAUGGUUCAUUCAAAUUUCUUCCCUAUCAACUUUCGAUGUUUGGGUAGUGGCCAAACAUGGUUGCAACGGGUAACGGAGGGUUAGGGCUCGACCCCGGAGAAGGAGCCUGAGAAACGGCUACUACAUCCAAGGAAGGCAGCAGGCGCGCAAAUUACCCAAUCCCGACACGGGGAGGUAGUGACAAUAAAUACUGAUACAGGGCUCUUUUGGGUCUUGUAAUUGGAAUGAGUACAAUUUAAAUCCCUUAACGAGGAACAAUUGGAGGGCAAGUCUGGUGCCAGCAGCCGCGGUAAUUCCAGCUCCAAUAGCGUAUAUUAAAGUUGUUGUGGUUAAAAAGCUCGUAGUUGAACCUUGGGCCUGGCUGGCCGGUCCGCCUCACCGCGUGCACUGGUCCGGCCGGGCCUUUCCCUCUGUGGAACCCCAUGCCCUUCACUGGGUGUGGCGGGGAACCAGGACUUUUACA
Molecule: ribosomal RNA, 554 nt
Filed under: uncultured fungus
Lineage: Eukaryota; Fungi
Description: SSU rRNA
Rfam family: Eukaryotic small subunit ribosomal RNA
Source: RNAcentral